AUGAAAAACAAAUCGGUCGAUGUGCUGGCGAAUCGACGCAAGUGCACUCGAUCGAAAUCCAACCCACACCUGUGCACCUUUGAGACCCGACCCUCAUUGGGAACGGUCCCAUUUUACACGCUUGUCCACGAAUGUGUAUUUUGCUUUUUGCAAUCUUGUA
This 160-nucleotide unclassified non-coding RNA is filed under the name uncultured Sebacinales. RNAcentral describes it as "sequence contains ITS1". Lineage: Eukaryota; Fungi; Basidiomycota; Agaricomycetes; Sebacinales. The record is from RNAcentral.